GCCAGACUCCUACGGGAGGCAGCAGUGGGGAAUAUUGCACAAUGGGGGAAACCCUGAUGCAGCGACGCCGCGUGAGUGAAGAAGUAUUUCGGUAUGUAAAGCUCUAUCAGCAGGAACGAGACAAGACGGUACCUGACUAAGAAGCCCCGGCUAACUACGUGCCAGCAGCCGCGGUAAUACGUAGGGGGCAAGCGUUAUCCGGAAUCACUGGGUGUAAAGGGAGCGUAGACGGCUGUGCAAGCCUGAAGUGAAAGGCGGGGGCCCAACCCCUGGACUGCUUUGGGAACUGUACGGCUGGAGUGCAGGAGAGGUAAGUGGAAUUCCUAGUGUAGCGGUGAAAUGCGUAGAUAUUAGGAGGAACACCAGUGGCGAAGGCGGCUUACUGGACUGUAACUGACGUUGAGGCUCGAAAGCGUGGGGAGCAAACAGGAUUAGAUACCCGUGUACA
RNAcentral lists this ribosomal RNA (448 nucleotides) under uncultured bacterium. RNAcentral describes it as "bacterial SSU rRNA". It matches the Rfam family "Bacterial small subunit ribosomal RNA", at positions 330 to 794 of the family's 1533-position model. The record is from RNAcentral.